UACGUAGGGGGCAAGCGUUGUCCGGAAUCAUUGGGCGUAAAGCGCGUGUAGGCGGCUCGGUAAGUCCGCUCUGAAAGCCCGGGGCUCAACCCCGGGAGGCGGGUGGAUACUGCUGAGCUCGAGUCCGGAAGAGGAGUGUGGAAUUCCUGGUGUAGCGGUGAAAUGCGCAGAUAUCAGGAGGAACACCAAUGGCGAAGGCAGCACUCUGGGACGGUACUGACGCUGAGGAGCGAAAGCUGGGGGAGCAAACAGG
This 253-nucleotide ribosomal RNA is filed under the name uncultured bacterium. Its description in RNAcentral is "partial 16S ribosomal RNA". It matches the Rfam family "Bacterial small subunit ribosomal RNA", at positions 524 to 776 of the family's 1533-position model. The record is from RNAcentral.